This is a long non-coding RNA of Mytilus californianus (California mussel), 1129 nucleotides long. RefSeq lists it as uncharacterized. The transcript is spliced from 2 exons. The record is from RefSeq and is a predicted model, not a curated record. Lineage: Eukaryota; Metazoa; Mollusca; Bivalvia; Mytilida; Mytilidae.
UGUGGUGUACCCGGAAGUUAUUUAACAUGUCAUAAAUAUCGAUUGCGUACUUAUCUAACAGCUCCUACGAAAUGGAGAAAGCUUUUCUUAAGUAUAUCUACAGAAGGCAUUGUAAGUUUGACGAACAUUCAGAAGUAGUAAAUGAGAUAGAAAAAACCGUUCAAAGUAUAGUGGAAAAAGUUUUGGCAAGAGUUGCAAAGAAGACACCUGUUCUUGAGAUUUCUAAAACCGUAAGUGGUGGAAGUUUCUAUGAGCAAACAAAAGUUGGAGCCCCUGAUGAAUUUGAUUACAUAGUUAUCGUCAAACUUUUAUCUCUACCAGGAGCAGUCAAAUUGGAGGGAUGAUGUACACCAUGGUACAAGAAAAUACACAUCACAAGUGAUGCAGACAAGUACAAAGACUAUUUGGAGUCAGAGGAUAAAUUAAGCAUGGAACUAAUGGCCAGAAAAUUUUGGGGAAGCUUAUUGGUUCAAUGUCAAAAUGAAGUCAUUUCCGAAACGUUUAAAUAUGGGACGAUAAGGACGAAAGGAUGCAAAUCUCGUAAACUCCUGUUAGGAUACAUAAAGCAUGAACGACUGGAAACACUUCAAGUGAACUACGAUGAAAAUCAAGUUUCCGAUAGCAAAGAGCUAGUUCAUUUACCUCACAUGGAAAUUGGAGUAGAUCUAAUGAUUGCUAUUGAUUAUCCAAACAUUGCAGACGUCAUUUCGCAAGAAGGUUUUCCUUCAUAAUGGAUUGAUCUAGUGAGAAAAAAAGGAUGUCAACUGGUUGCCAAAAGUUGCCAAUCAUUUAAUCCAUGCUCCAUCUGUUGGCAUAUAUCCCUAGCUACCUCUGAAUCGAGUCUAAUGAGGGAAAUGGAUGCAAAACAUAAAAAAUGCUAUCAAGUUUUGAAAUACCUUAUGAUAAGGGAGGUAACGUUUCCCGGAAAAUGCGCAAAUUUAUCAUCAUACAUGUUAAAAAAUGCUUUUAUGUUUCAUGUUUAUGGUAAAACCAAUUGUCCAAAGGACGAAAAUUUAUGUAUUUAUGCAGUGUUAGAUUAUAUAGCAAACAGUUAGUUCUCAAAUGUCAUGAUUGCUAUUUUUUCAUUCAACAGUUAUAUAUCACAUGAAGAAUAAACAGAAUAAACUAA